RNAcentral lists this transfer RNA (49 nucleotides) under Fifea aciphylla. Its description in RNAcentral is "partial tRNA-Phe". Lineage: Eukaryota; Viridiplantae; Streptophyta; Bryopsida; Hypnales; Lembophyllaceae. RNAcentral also lists the same sequence under 2 other names. The record is from RNAcentral.
CCGGAAUAGCUCAGUCGGUAGAGCAGAGGACUGAAAAUCCUCGUGUCAC